GAAGAAGUGCUAUCAAAAUAUUUCAAUUCUUUUAAUGCAAACUUUAUUAAAUUUGGAACUUUUGACCAGUAUGCCACAAAAUUUGCUGAUCAAAGCAGGGGAAACCAAUGUACUUGUAAUUGUUUAGUUUUCUUAUCACUUUCUUCUUUAAAUUUUGAUUCAAACACACUGAACCUGGAUUACAUUUUAAUAAAGGAGAUGAAAUUUACAGGAAGCAUGUUCAAAUUAACAACACAGGGAUUAUUUAAAAAUAUGCUUUUGAAUUUUGAUGAAAUUCCUGUCAAAAUUGAAAUUCCUGAAGGGAUUUUUAUAAUUAACAAACAAAAUAUUCUGUUUGGUAUAGCUUUACAGUACCAAGAGUUGACUGGAUUUCUCUCAUUACAAGAAGCAAUUCAAAAUUGUAUUAAGCAGUCAAACAAAUUUCUUAUAAUGAUUGGAGCCAUAUGUUCAGCAGUUUAUUAUUAUAAUCAUAUAUACUAUUUUUUUGACACUCAUUCUCAUUCAGAAUGUACACUGAAUAAUCCAUUAGAUUCCUCUGGCAAAAGUAUUUUGAUUGGAUUUGCUGACUUACAUGACCUCCUCAGUUACUUGUAUGCUUUUUACACAAGUUUACAAAUUGAUUUAGACUCUCAAUAUGAAAUUUUACCUGUAUGUAUCAGUAGUAAAGAUACUGACAAAGAUGUGACCAAGCAGAUUAAGAAUUAUUUCGAUGAUCAGAAACUAAGGAACACAAAACAAAAAAAUAAUUCUUACCAGUAUAUAGAGAGUACCCAAAUUUGUAUAUAUGAAAAACUACAUGCAAAAUAGAAGAAAAGAAAAAAAUUAUAGAAAGACUGAAGCAGAUAGAAAGAAGUCUCAGAGAGAAAAUUCAGAUAUAAGACA
This 882-nucleotide long non-coding RNA is filed under the name Mytilus galloprovincialis (Mediterranean mussel). The record is from RNAcentral. Lineage: Eukaryota; Metazoa; Mollusca; Bivalvia; Mytilida; Mytilidae.